This is a long non-coding RNA of Macrobrachium nipponense, 1419 nucleotides long. RefSeq lists it as uncharacterized. The record is from RefSeq and is a predicted model, not a curated record. Lineage: Eukaryota; Metazoa; Arthropoda; Malacostraca; Decapoda; Palaemonidae. The transcript has 2 exons.
CAUAAUUAAAACCUACAAGAGACGGGAGCUAGUAAUAUCGCCCCUACUCGUCCUACGACCCAGUUUUACUUUCCUUUCGCUAACGCAAUAAAGAAGUUAAUCGUAUGUUCCUAAGAAGAUAAAAAAAAACGUCCUUACCCAGCAAAACAGGAUGACAAACCGCCCAAAAAUACUUUAAUUACAUAACGGGCCGUUCGUUGUGCUAGGCAGCCUAUCUAGAUAUUUUACUGCUCCGUGGUAUCGAAAUUAAGCUCAGCUUACCAUAUUUAUAAUCAUUGGCUUACAAAUGACCUACGACUAGUAACACUAACUUUAGUUAUGAAGGCGUCCGCUAUCAAAAAUAAUUGGUAAAAGUCUCUGGUACUACUUCUCUAACUUAAACAAGUUAUUUCCUGCCUUACCCAUUUCCGAUUUAUCAUCGUUAACUGCUUAACGCCCAGUGCACUUCUGAACCAUUUUACUUACAUUGGUUCGAGAGGAUUCUCUAGACUGAGCAAAUAUCUUUCAAUUAUUUCACUCGCAAUUUACGUUACCCGAAUCUUCAGACUUUUGAAAUAGACAAAAUCGGGCCGAAGGACAACCUUUGGUAUCUGUUCAUAAGGGAAAUUCGAGAAGCUGCGAAAAACCCUCGACACCUACAGUGCACCACUUACGCACCGAUGACACUAUCCCCCUAUGGGACAACUUGCGAUCUACCCUGCAAUCUUCUCUUAAAGUACCUUUCAUAACCUAUAUAAUUUGCCUUUAUUACCCUCUGGAGUAUUCCAGCCUUUAUAGCAAUUAUUUUUGAGCAAACCACAGUAAACCAUAGUAGUUUAAUAUUUUCUCUAAAUGUCUCGUUGACAAUCAUAUUGAGAGCAAGGCAUUUAGUUUUAAAAUCUUAAAAUAAUCAAAGUUAAGUGCCUUCAAGUGUGUUUUGGAAUCAAAUUUUCAACUUUAAUAACUAAUUCCAGUUUCACGUUAAAAUGGAGAUCACCUUUCUCCACCUUUGAAGAGAAAUUUGAUCACAGACAAUGUGACAUUCUAAUUACUCCUAGUCACAUUUUAAAUAACUUUGCAUACUAUUCAUUUGAAGACAAGAGGGAUUGACAAAAAAAAAUAGUUUGAAUUUUAUUUAUAAAAAAAAUUAAAAUGAAUAACAACCAAGUCGCUCAUUCUCCGCAAUUUUCAUAGUUUAACACUCGAUUCCAUCAAUUUACUUCGGCAUCCAACAAUUUACUUCAGCAUCCAAAUAGUCAAAAGGAGCGGCCAUUCCAGGCCAUCCCAAACUUGCUGGGCCGUGCCAGGCCAUCCCGAUCUGGCUAAGCCAUUCCAGGCCACACCGUCUCGACAACCUGUCAAAUUUGAGCGAAAAAUACUUCACCAUAACGUCCAACGCUGAAAAUGUAUCCACUGGAACUCUUAGGGUUGAUUUGGACC